Molecule: ribosomal RNA, 1109 nt
Filed under: Bacillus sp. R150
Lineage: Bacteria; Bacillati; Bacillota; Bacilli; Caryophanales; Bacillaceae
Description: bacterial SSU rRNA
Rfam family: Bacterial small subunit ribosomal RNA
Source: RNAcentral
CUAUCUGCAGUCGAGCGAAGAGAUGGGAGCUUGCUCCCUGAUCUUAGCGGCGGACGGGUGAGUAACACGUGGGCAACCUGCCCUGCAGACUGGGAUAACUCCGGGAAACCGGAGCUAAUACCGGGUAAUACAUCGCACCGCAUGGUGCAAUGUUGAAAGUUGGCUUUCUGAGCUAACACUGCAGGAUGGGCCCGCGGCGCAUUAGCUAGUUGGUAAGGUAAUGGCUUACCAAGGCGACGAUGCGUAGCCGACCUGAGAGGGUGAUCGGCCACACUGGGACUGAGACACGGCCCAGACUCCUACGGGAGGCAGCAGUAGGGAAUCUUCCGCAAUGGACGAAAGUCUGACGGAGCAACGCCGCGUGAGUGACGAAGGCCUUCGGGUCGUAAAGCUCUGUUGUUAGGGAAGAACAAGUACCGUUCGAAUAGGGCGGUACCUUGACGGUACCUAACCAGAAAGCCACGGCUAACUACGUGCCAGCAGCCGCGGUAAUACGUAGGUGGCAAGCGUUGUCCGGAAUUAUUGGGCGUAAAGCGCGCGCAGGCGGUCUUUUAAGUCUGAUGUGAAAGCCCACGGCUCAACCGUGGAGGGUCAUUGGAAACUGGAGGACUUGAGUGCAGAAGAGGAGAGUGGAAUUCCACGUGUAGCGGUGAAAUGCGUAGAUAUGUGGAGGAACACCAGUGGCGAAGGCGGCUCUCUGGUCUGUAACUGACGCUGAGGCGCGAAAGCGUGGGGAGCAAACAGGAUUAGAUACCCUGGUAGUCCACGCCGUAAACGAUGAGUGCUAGGUGUUGGGGGGUUCCACCCUCAGUGCUGAAGUUAACACAUUAAGCACUCCGCCUGGGGAGUACGACCGCAAGGGUUGAACUCAAGGAAUUGACGGGGGCCCGCACAAGCAGUGAGCAUGUGGUUUAUUUCGAGCACGCGAAGACUUACAGUCUGACAUCCUCUGACAUCUGAGACAGACGUCCCUCGGGGACGAGUGACAGUGGUGCAUGAUGUCGUCAGCUCAGUCUGGAAUGUGGGUUAAGUCCGCACGAGCCAUCCUUGAUCUAGUGCAGCAUUAGUGGCACUAGGUACUGCAGUCACAAUCGGAGAAUCGCUGCGGG